CGGGCAGGUGCCUAGCGGCCGAGGCGCCCGCCUGGAAAAGUGGGUAGACGGCGCAGGUUCGAAUCCUGCCUGUCC
This 75-nucleotide transfer RNA is filed under the name Mesorhizobium sp. RNAcentral describes it as "tRNA-Ser". It matches the Rfam family "tRNA". Rfam says of the family: Transfer RNA (tRNA) molecules are approximately 80 nucleotides in length. Their secondary structure includes four short double-helical elements and three loops (D, anti-codon, and T loops). Further hydrogen bonds mediate the characteristic L-shaped molecular structure. tRNAs have two regions of fundamental functional importance: the anti-codon, which is responsible for specific mRNA codon recognition, and the 3' end, to which the tRNAs corresponding amino acid is attached (by aminoacyl-tRNA synthetases). tRNAs cope with the degeneracy of the genetic code in two manners: having more than one tRNA (with a specific anti-codon) for a particular amino acid; and 'wobble' base-pairing, i.e. permitting non-standard base-pairing at the 3rd anti-codon position. The record is from RNAcentral. Lineage: Bacteria; Pseudomonadati; Pseudomonadota; Alphaproteobacteria; Hyphomicrobiales; Phyllobacteriaceae.